GUGCUCAUUUUGGCAGCACAUAUACUAAAUUUGAAAUGAUACAGAGAAGAUUAGUAUGGCCCCUAUGCAAAGAUGGUAAAAAUUCAUGAAGCUUCCGUAGUUUUG
This is a small nuclear RNA of Jaculus jaculus (lesser Egyptian jerboa), 105 nucleotides long. The record is from Ensembl. Lineage: Eukaryota; Metazoa; Chordata; Mammalia; Rodentia; Dipodidae.